AAAACGUAACAAGGUUUCCGUAGGUGAACCUGCGGAAGGAUCAUUUCAGUAUUCUUUUUGCCAGCGCUUUAUUGCGCGGCGAAAAAACCUUUCACACUAUGUUUUUUGUUUUUUCAAGAACUAUUGCUUUGGUCUGUCUCUAGAAAUAGAUUUGGGCCAGAGGUUUUACUAAACUUCAAUUUUUUAUUGAAUUGUUUUUUAUUUUAUUGUCAAUUUGUUGAUUUAUUUCAAAAAAUCUUCAAAACUUUCAACAACGGAUCUCUUGGUUCUCGCAUCGAUGAAGAACGCAGCGAAAUGCGAUAAGUAAUAUGAAUUGCAGAUUUUCGUGAAUCAUCGAAUCUUUGAACGCACAUUGCGCCCUCUGGUAUUCCAGAGGGCAUGCCUGUUUGAGCGUCAUUUCUCUCUCAAACCCUUGGGUUUGGUAUUGAGUGAUACUCUUUGUCGAACUAGGCGUUUGCUUGAAAUGUAUCGGCAUGAGUAGUACUGAAUAGUGCUUCAAGACUUUUUCAAUGUAUUUGGUUUUUCCAACUCGUUGAAUGGUUUUGUAGUAAAUUUUUUGUAUUUUUGGCUCGGCCUUUCAACACAACAAACAAGUUUGACCUCAAAUCAGGUAGGACUACCCGCUGAACUUAAGCAUAUCAAAA
This 644-nucleotide ribosomal RNA is filed under the name Schwanniomyces pseudopolymorphus. RNAcentral describes it as "eukaryotic LSU rRNA". The stretch from base 243 to 396 matches the Rfam family "5.8S ribosomal RNA". The record is from RNAcentral. Lineage: Eukaryota; Fungi; Ascomycota; Pichiomycetes; Serinales; Debaryomycetaceae.